Molecule: small RNA, 1087 nt
Filed under: Rattus norvegicus (Norway rat)
Lineage: Eukaryota; Metazoa; Chordata; Mammalia; Rodentia; Muridae
Description: uncharacterized LOC102555148
Source: RNAcentral
UUGCCUUGGUCAUGGUGUCUCUUGACAGCAACAGAAGCCCCAACUAAGACAGUAACCCAGGCAGCCAUUGAACUCAGUUCUCCUACUGCAGCUUCCUGAGGAGCAGGGAUUACAGGACUGCACCCUCAGGCCUGGCUGCAAUUUGUUUUCAGUUUUCUUUGUUCUUGACACUUCUGCUACUUCAUCUCUAGGCUCUGUGUGAUUAAUGUUAUUCACCCCUUCCUUCCGUACUUCCGUUAGUUGAGACCUUUUUAUCUUGGCAGGCAAUUGCCACAAGCAUCUAAGGAGUGGUCGAGUGGGCUGAGAAAUGAUCAGAGGCCCAAGGCUGCUGCUGUAGGUGAUCUUAGUUCUGUCUCCCUCUGAGCUUUAGGUUUUCCAUUCAAGCCCAUAAAUGCCACACCCAGGGCAUUCCAGCUGAGCUCUCUGUAGCUGAGCCAGAAUCUUUAGACAACCGGGGUGGGGGUGGGAGGAAUGCGCUGAAGGAGCAAGACCUCCAUGCUGUCGUCCUGUGGAACUCACCCCACUACCCUCAGAUGGGGCUACCAUCCCCAGUACAGGAAUGGGUGGCCCUGGGCCAUGAGAACUGUGAGUGGAAACUGAAGCCUGAUUCCUAUCUUCCUGUCCCUACAGAGUAGGGAAUGACUCAAGAAUGAGCCAGCAUUGAGGAUGCAUUUGUCAAGGCGAGAGAGGCACGCACGAUCACUGAGCAUGGCUUGAGAUUUCCACCUUAUAAAGGAAUGUCUCUGCCCUCCCAGGAGAUGAGUUGAGAGAUGCUCAACUUUAGAAAAUCCUCCCCUAAUUCCACAAAUGACAAACCCAGACUACUGUUUGCCAGUCAGCUCUCAGAAUAUUUAUGAGAGUACCACGCUUCUCAUGUUGCAAAGAAGGCCAAUUCAAAAUACUCAUGACUCUUCAGAUUAUUGAUGCUUGACCAGCAAGGUUACAAUGAGGGCUGGAGAUCCAACUCAGCUUCACCAGUGCUGGUCUAGUACUCUACCACUGAACUAUACUCCCAGCCUUCUACAGUGAUUCAUAGGAAGAGUUGUUUUCUACCAAAUUCAUGUUUAUUACAUAUAUGUUUAAAACA